AGUGAACGCUGGCGGCAGGCCUAAUACAUGCAAGUCGAACGGCAGCACAGUGGAGCUUGCUCCAUGGGUGGGGAGUGGCGGACGGGUGAGGGAUACAUAGGAAUCUGCACAGUCGCGGGGGAGAAAGCGGGGGAACUUACGCUAAUACAGCAUGCGCCCUCCGGGGGAAAACCCGGGAGCUCCGCGCCUGUCGCGCUUGGAUGAGCCCAUGUUCGAUUAGCUCGUUGGCGGGGGAAAGGCCCACCAAGGCGACGAUCGCUAGCUGGUCUGAGAGGAUGAUCAGCCACACUGGGACUGAGACACGGUCCAGACUCCUACGGGAGGCAGCAGUAGGGAAUAUUGGACAAUGGGCGCAAGCCUGAUCCAGCCAUGCCGCGUGAGUGAAGAAGGCCCUCGGGUUGUAAAGCUCUUUUGUCCGGGAAGAAAAGCAUCGGGCUAAUACCUCGGUGUUCUGACGGUACCGAAAGAAUAAGCACCGGCUAACUUCGUG
Molecule: ribosomal RNA, 490 nt
Filed under: uncultured bacterium
Lineage: Bacteria
Description: partial 16S ribosomal RNA
Rfam family: Bacterial small subunit ribosomal RNA
Source: RNAcentral